This is a long non-coding RNA of Athene cunicularia (burrowing owl), 2042 nucleotides long. RefSeq lists it as uncharacterized. The transcript is spliced from 2 exons. Lineage: Eukaryota; Metazoa; Chordata; Aves; Strigiformes; Strigidae. The record is from RefSeq and is a predicted model, not a curated record.
UCUGGUGUCCUAUUCCCUCCUACUCUCCAUCCUUAAAGAUGAUGCUCAUCUCUCCUGAAGAGGUUUCUGUGUACUCUGUGAAGUUUUGCAGGGAUUUGAUGGAACUGUCAGCUGAGCAGCAGCAUGGACAGCUGCCUGGGGCAAGGCCUGUUGGUUUGAAGGAUCUUUCUACUGCAGCAUCAAACCCCAGAUCCUGCAAGAACAAGGUGUUACCACCAGCAGCAAAAAUGGGCUCUGCAGGAAAACUGUCACUGAAAUGAUCUCUCCCACAAAUGCUGAGCUAACCAUGCUGCAAUGGCUGUUCCCAGUUUCACACGUGUUAAUACCUAGGGGUAAGAAGAGCAACUUAGCUUGGACCUAUGAUGUCACUUGCCAACAGAAAGUUGGGGUGAGGAAGAAAGCGGUGGGAAUCAGACCACAUUUGCCAGAGGUGUCAGCCAUGUGCGGGCAGGUCAAUGCCAACAGCGAGAGAUGCACCACAGCAACGGGAAAGGGUUGUGGGAUCUAACAGAGGCGUGUCUACUGGGAAGAAAACCCCUCCUGCAUCCUUUCUAACAGAGCUCACACUUUGACGCCCCAUGAUAUGGACGAGGUGAGAAGGAGCCACCAGCUUUGGAUAGAAGAAGCCUGUUCUUGAGUGUAUAUCAUAAGUUAGAUGUGCAAAGGGGAGAGAGAUCAGCCAAGGACACCUACAGCUUUAUCUGCCCCUUUGAGGAACGUCAAGCUGGGAAGCCCAGAGCAAAACCAUCCCUUCCCAGCCCACUGGUGUUCACCCAGGGUGACAAAGGGACACAUGCAGACAGCAGGGGACAUGAGCAUGCGGAGAAGGAGGAAGGAAGGAAGAAUGUAAGAUGCAAACCGCACCACUUAAAACCAGGGCGGCUUUCCAGUUCCUCCAAAGUGCUCCCCACACCCAGCGCUGUACAGCAGCCAACCUGGUGGGCUUCUGAUCUUCCCAAAUCACUUAACACUUCUCCCCCUUUUAUUUUUGUCCUAAAUGUAAGCAUUUUGCUUUGGUGGCUGAUCCUGGCAACGUGCCCCAGACAUUACACUGGGGUUGCUUUUGCUCUAGGAGAUAAGUCUGUAAUGAAGGCUUCCUCUGCCGUGUCUCUUUUUCCCCUGUAGUGAAAGUCUGUAAUUACCACUGAGGGGCGAGGCAGACAGCACUGAAACAAUGUCAUUUGAACAGGGGUGAGACAUGCCUGAAUUGCUGGGUUGUGCUUUUCUCCUUACAGUAUUGCUUGUGGAUACGGACCUUGCUUUUAACCCUUGGCAGGGCAGGGAACGCUGUCCCCCCAUGUCCCCGACCAGCCUGCAUGCACUGGAUCUGCUUGGCUGCUAUCGGGACAGAUCCUGCUGGACGUAGCCAAGGUGUGAGCGUCUGACUUCUCUGCCAUGCUCGAGGAGUCAAGUGGCACAAAUCAGCGGGGAUUGCCCCCUAGUCGUCAUGCAGGUAACUGGGGGUUUGGGGUUGACUCCAUAUGGCACAUGCAGCGUGGCAAAACAGAGCUGUUGCAGUCUUCUUGCCCCAACUUGGCUAGUCCUGUUCCAGCGGUUCUUCAGCUCCCUCCUGCACCAAAGCCGUCUGCUUCCCGUUCCUUGAUGCAAGGCAUCUUUUUGGUAUAAAAUUCCGUCAAACAGAGUGUGCAGCUAUACCUCUCAUCCUUCCUAGGAAAAGGUUUGAGAUGUAGGAAACAGAAAUGAGGCAAUUACAGCCCCCUCAGGAUGACUCUUCAGGCUGUCUGCAGCCCCUUGAAGGCUGCCUGGGUCCCGUUUGCAAGCUGGCCUUGCAACCAUGCAGGCUAGAAGUCUAGUAGAGUAGAACAAAUAAAAAUUCGUGCAUGGGAAGCAGAGGCAGCCACCCUCCUCUGCUGUCCUGCAGCUUCCCAUUCACCUGAGAUUCCUGAAAGGGAGUUAUUUACAGCACCUUCAAAUGCUAACAAACUGCUGGAAGGAGAUGCCCUCAUACUGAAGUUACUCUUCAUUCAGUUAGUCAUCCUGAAAGUUGUCUGGUUCUCCAGGGAGAUUGACAGGAAAAAAAA